RNAcentral lists this ribosomal RNA (497 nucleotides) under uncultured bacterium. RNAcentral's name for it is "partial 16S ribosomal RNA". It matches the Rfam family "Bacterial small subunit ribosomal RNA", at positions 28 to 507 of the family's 1533-position model. The record is from RNAcentral.
GAUGAACGCUGGCGGCGUGCCUAAUACAUGCAAGUCGAGCGAACAGACGAGGAGCUUGCUCCUCUGACGUUAGCGGCGGACGGGUGAGUAACACGUGGAUAACCUACCUAUAAGACUGGGAUAACUUCGGGAAACCGGAGCUAAUACCGGAUAAUAUAUUGAACCGCAUGGUUCAAUAGUGAAAGACGGUUUUGCUGUCACUUAUAGAUGGAUCCGCGCUGCAUUAGCUAGUUGGUAAGGUAACGGCUUACCAAGGCAACGAUGCAUAGCCGACCUGAGAGGGUGAUCGGCCACACUGGAACUGAGACACGGUCCAGACUCCUACGGGAGGCAGCAGUAGGGAAUCUUCCGCAAUGGGCGAAAGCCUGACGGAGCAACGCCGCGUGAGUGAUGAAGGUCUUCGGAUCGUAAAACUCUGUUAUUAGGGAAGAACAUAUGUGUAAGUAACUGUGCACAUCUUGACGGUACCUAAUCAGAAAGCCACGGCUAACUACGUG